This 443-nucleotide ribosomal RNA is filed under the name uncultured Paenibacillus sp. RNAcentral describes it as "bacterial SSU rRNA". It matches the Rfam family "Bacterial small subunit ribosomal RNA", at positions 936 to 1382 of the family's 1533-position model. The record is from RNAcentral. Lineage: Bacteria; Bacillati; Bacillota; Bacilli; Caryophanales; Paenibacillaceae.
AGUAUGUGGUUAAUUCGAAGCAACGCGAAGAACCUUACCAGGGCUUGACAUCCCUUGAAGCAGCUAGAGAUAGCUGUGUCCUUCGGGACAAGGAGACAGGUGGUGCAUGGUUGUCGUCAGCUCGUGUCGUGAGAUGUUGGGUUAAGUCCCGCAACGAGCGCAACCCCUGUGGUUAGUUGCCAGCAAGUAGCUUGGGCACUCUGGCCAGACUGCCGGUGAUAAAUCGGAGGAAGGUGGGGACGACGUCAAAUCAUCAUGCCCUUUAUGUCCUGGGCUACACACGUACUACAAUGGCCGUUACAACGGGAAGCGAAGGAGCAAUCCGGAGCAAAUCCCUUAAAGCCAAUCUCAGUUCGGAUUGUAGGCUGCAACUCGCCUACAUGAAGUCGGAAUCGCUAGUAAUCGCGGAUCAGCACGCCGCGGUGAAUACGUUCCCGGGCCUU